GCCAUGCUGGUGUUCUGGUAUGCUGGGCUUCGGGUGGGAAAUCUAACACAGGAACACAGGCAGAACAAGGUUGCCUGUCCAUAGUCACUAGAGCCUGCUGGGAAACACACAGACCCGUCUUUGGGGGAUGAAACUUCAAGGUGGACUCUGGUCAAGGCAAGAGGAAGAGAACCCAACAGCUCAGCUCUGGGGGCUUCAAAGGACACCACCAGGAAGGGGUGCUGUGCACAGGCGGCCUACGGAGAACGAGAGCUGUGGCCCGACAGGUCUUUGCAUGAAACAUACUUCUCUGUGUACACUUCAAGAGCCACGUCGUCGGCUGUGCUAUGAAGUCAGGAGUCAUCGCACACACUGGGGGCGCCUUCCUCUCCACUUCUAUGAUGCUUCCUCCCUGUCACAGCCCAGGAGAACCCAGGGAAGAGCAGCAGACCGGCAAACCCCCAGUGAGAGGCCGGAGCAGGAAGAAGCCCAGGAAGGGAGAGGGAGGUGCACACAGUGGGGAUGAGCUGCCAACUGCGCCUCUGAUUUUCUCGGCCGGAGGAUGAGACUGAGUGUAGCCAUGCCUACCUGCUUUCUGUCACAGUGGCCCUCCGAAGCCAGGCAGAGCAGCAGGCACACGGGAGCAGGCUCCAUCUAGGAGCUGGGGCAGUCCAGGAACUUCGGCUGCCACAGAUACACCCGUCCAAUCACAGUCAGUGGCAGAGCACUUAUUAAACGCCCCUUGGCUGUGAUUCCAUUCUGGGCACCCCAGCUCCUCGUUGGGAGUUUUGGCGGGGGAGCAUCCGCUUUGAGGCAGGUGAGUGUCACCUCCCUGUCUCCCCGUUGUUGUGUGGGCGGAGCACACCAGGGCCUCUAAUCCCCAAGGAUGGAAUUAAACGUGCUUCAACCCCA
Non-coding RNA from Peromyscus maniculatus bairdii (prairie deer mouse), 891 nucleotides. Lineage: Eukaryota; Metazoa; Chordata; Mammalia; Rodentia; Cricetidae. The record is from RefSeq and is a predicted model, not a curated record.